GUAACGUCAAGACUCACGGGUAUUAACCGUAGGCUUUUCUUCUCUACUGAAAGUGCUUUACAACCCGCAGGCCUUCUUCACACACGCGGCAUUGCUGGAUCAGGCUUGCGCCCAUUGUCCAAUAUUCCCC
This 130-nucleotide ribosomal RNA is filed under the name uncultured bacterium. RNAcentral's name for it is "partial 16S ribosomal RNA". The record is from RNAcentral.